GCCCCAGUGGCCUAAUGGAUAAGGCACUGGCCUCCUAAGCCAGGGAUUGUGGGUUUAAGUCCCAUCUGGGGUG
RNAcentral lists this transfer RNA (73 nucleotides) under Pelobates cultripes (western spadefoot toad). RNAcentral's name for it is "tRNA.Arg". It matches the Rfam family "tRNA". Rfam says of the family: Transfer RNA (tRNA) molecules are approximately 80 nucleotides in length. Their secondary structure includes four short double-helical elements and three loops (D, anti-codon, and T loops). Further hydrogen bonds mediate the characteristic L-shaped molecular structure. tRNAs have two regions of fundamental functional importance: the anti-codon, which is responsible for specific mRNA codon recognition, and the 3' end, to which the tRNAs corresponding amino acid is attached (by aminoacyl-tRNA synthetases). tRNAs cope with the degeneracy of the genetic code in two manners: having more than one tRNA (with a specific anti-codon) for a particular amino acid; and 'wobble' base-pairing, i.e. permitting non-standard base-pairing at the 3rd anti-codon position. Lineage: Eukaryota; Metazoa; Chordata; Amphibia; Anura; Pelobatidae. RNAcentral also lists the same sequence under 1 other name. The record is from RNAcentral.